CCUCUCGCCCGUAGCAAAAAAUAAUCAGGCAACAACGCUCCCAUCGAUCUAGGCCACGUCGGCGCCGCCGCCGCCAAUCCGCUCGUAUGCCGCCGCCGCCAAUCCGCUCGUAUGCCGUCGCCGCCAUUCACCCCUCUCGCAUGCCGCCGCCAUCACCCAUCGCCACUGAUCGGACGUGGAGCUCGUGUGCCAUGACCUCCAUGGCACCCAUGGCCGCCUGCUCGGGAGAUGGGGUCGCCAUGUUCGACGCCGCCAGCGCCUCGUGGACCUCAGCUCCAGGUCCGCCGCCAUCGAAGUCAGUUCUACAGGAAGAGAAUCUAGAAAUUCUUGCGCUGGAUGCAGUAGACGAAACUGAUCUAUUUGAUCUGAUCCCAACUUCCCAAGUCCCGAUGAGAACGUAUACCUACGUGGAUCCAAGUCGAGUUGGGAGCGGCAUCGAUCCAAUGAAUGUGCAAGGAAUUUCUGAAUACAUCACUUCUAUUUGAUUAUGGGUAUGUUCGUUGGUCAUUCAAUUCAAUUGUUCGUACAACAGCAGAAUUUUCCCUUUAGCACGAAUUUCCAGUAGUUGUGUUGCUUCUUUUGAAGGUGGAUCUUGGAUUCAUUCCAUUAGUUUUAUUUUCCGAAUUUCCAAUUAUUUGAGUAUCCUCUCUAUAGCUGCCUUCAGAGAAGAACAUGAGCCUGAAUACUAAUGCAUCUGUCCAAGCAUGAGGAAAUUUGCUAAAGUCUUUGCGGACAGGUUGACGACAGGAGCUGAUCGGAAUAUAAGAUACUAAUGCAUCUGUCCAAGCAUGAGGAAGUUUGCUAGUCUUUUGCGGACAGGUUGACGACAGGAGCUGAUCGGAAUAUAAGAUACUAGGACGACGCAUGGUCCAUGGGGGAUACCUUCUUCACCACCACUCUCCGGGCAGCCCGACCAUGCUCCUUUUCAUGGCUUUGCUUCCUUGGCCUGAUUCUUUUAACUGAUGAAGCUUUCGUCGAUUUUACUAUUUUCAGGUGCUAUAAAUCCAAGCGUUCAUCCAUUCUGGUCUAAUUCUUUGGAUAAUUUAUGAAGGUUAUGGUUCUGGUAUUUGUACGUAUUUGCAAAUUGUUCACCAGGCCUGUUGUCCUCGAAGGAGGAAAUAAUAGGGAGGAUUGGAGAUGCACAGGGCAUGCCAUGGCAAUGAAGUGUACACCAUGGACAGCUAAGCCUAAACCAUGUUAAUAAAUUUUUAUAUGCUCAAUUUAUGAUUUUGUGUUGGUUCUGAUGGUUUGAGAAAAAUUAAGUGAGCCAGUAUAAACAAACGCUAAUUACUUCAAUUCAGUUAUGCAAGCUGCAGAAAACGAACUAUUAACUCUGAUCUUCUAAUGCUUCCUCUUCUUUCUUAAUGUGGUUUGGCUCAACAAACAAUAUUUUCUUUGUGGCAUACUGCACUAGCUCUGAUUUGAGUACUUCAAUUCAGCAUAAAGUAGCUUAUUUUCCCUCCUAUUGUUAGUCUGCAAUGAUAUGUACUGUCCUCAAGUACACUGUCGUGUUUUGGCAAGCGAUUUGAAGCUAGCGUGCUGUAUUUUUGCAGGUGAUUGCUUUAAUCCAAUUUUGCAAGCAAUCUAAAGCCAACAGGCCUUGUUUCUUCCCAAAGUGGUGGCGGUUAGAGGCUAGCAGUACUUAUGGUGUGCAGUUUAAAUUAUUUAAGGAAGAUUUGAUUUUCCCCACAAAAAAGGAAGACUUGAUUUGAUGCCUCUAACUGAUUAUAUCUUUAAGCAAACAAUGGAUAUUGAAUAACUGCAUCAUAUUUGGAGGUAACAGUGACGUGUCAUAUGUUUUGGGAUACAGGCAAUACUUUACUUUACUUACCAAAUUACAUUACUACAUUACUAAUAGAAAAUUUACUUAUAAUGAUAGGAAAUCGUGUCUAUUGAUGGAGCUCGAACUACAUAGUACAAUCAACAUGUGUCUAGCUCAGAGCUCUUGUCCUAUAAUUCCAUGUUAUGCAUGAUUUCUUCUAAAGUUUCCAUGAAUUUUGCUUUACAUCAAAAACUUAAUCGAACUCCUUCCAGGACAAAAGUAAACAAUACUACAUAUCUUGAUAUAAAUCCUCUGAGUAGUAUGCCCCAAUUUUUAGUUCUUCAUAUACAUUUUUACUUGCAUAGUAUAUUAAUUUUUCUCAAAACAGGUACAUACUUCUAUCAUGCAUAGCGAGUGUAUGAAACAUCUUUUUUAAUUAAGAUGUCCUUCAAUAAAAAUAUUGUAUAUUUAGAAAUAUUUGGAUAACAUACAUGAUCUGUAUAUUCUUUUUCAAGUAGAGUUAGGAAUAUAUUUUUAAUUAAGAAACAUAUUUUGUACAGAGGGGGUGGAAGUGCACCGUUCAUAAGCUUAGGGAAGCACAAGCGCACAACCAGUUACCAUCAUCUUCAAAUGCGCCGAUAUAAUUGGCAAUGCAUGUUUCUCCAUGUUUUAAGUAUACAUAUCAUGUUGUGGUCCAUAGGCACUUGGGCUCCCUCCAUGAUCUGAGUAACAUUAUUGGCUUGUAUAUGCAAUGUUUUCUACUCCCUCCGUUCCCAAAUAUUUGUCUUUUUAGAGAUUUCAAAUGAACUACCACAUACGAAUGUAUAUAGACAUAUUUUAGAGUGUAGAUUCACUCAUUUUGCUCCGUAUGUAGCCACUUGUUGCAAUCUCUAGAAAGACAAAUAUUUAGGAACGGAGGAAGUAGCUACAGAAGCAAAGAUCAAAACAAUUCACAAAGCUACAGACAAUUAAACCGCUCAAUUAAUAAUUCACCACACUUUUAUCUGAAAUAAUAGAUCAAACAUGGGUACUUUUAAAUUUUUAUUGUACAAAACUGUUGCAACGGCAUGCAACCCUGUACUGUACUAAUUUGUACAGAGAUUGCAAGCUGAUGUUUUACAAUGAUAUAGGAAGAUUAGUAAUGGAGAUACAAGAGAUGGUUGAGGGUUGCUCGCUGAUUCAAUUCGUGCUUGGUCUAGGACUAGAUGGCAGUGUGGAUGUUGGGUAUGACAAGAAGAACGUAUGGGUCGUGUGCGUCGUCAUCGACCACCCAUCAUCGAGGACAGGGCCUCAUGUGGGACCUCGGGAGGAGGGGAGAACAAGGGCGUGCACAACAUCAGAGCCGAUGAAAUUCAUGUGCAUGGACUGCGUCCGGCCUGCCGUGGCCGACCGCUCCAUCCUGCUCCUCUAAAAGUGCAUGAGCAAGGCAAUCCUGCCAUUAUUUUUGGACAUCUGCUAUCAACACAACUACUUAUUUCCCAUAUUGUAACCAGUAACAGGCUAGCGGCUAUGCUAUUUCAUUUCACAAUGUAUAUACGGAGGUACCUUUGGAGUUCAGUGUGUCCAUUACAUGCUUUGUGUGUUGAGAGGGGUCCACAUGGUGGCGGGCGGAGUUCCUUGGGCUCCAUGGAGGCAGCUGAGACCUGGUGUUGCGCUCCUCCCUUUGUCCGCCACCUCGCCAUCUCGGGCGCCGCUGUGGCGAGUGCUCUAACCAGCUCCAGAUCGCUACACUCUACAGAAUAAUUCUUCAACUUAUCAAUCUUGCUACUGGUAUUCAUCCACCACUAGGUCCUUUAUCUGGAUGUGUUAUUAGUUCUUCGCAACUCCCAAUUCCGAUCCGUUCUAGAGGGUAAGUAUCUUUUUUAAAUGAAUGAACAGGAAAACUGUGUCUUAGUAAAAAAAAUCAUGUUUCAUUUGUGUAUGCGACAUUUAAGGACAGUGCCAUCUGGAGAACUUGUUCAUUGGUGCUUUCCAUGAGGUUUAUGGUAAGAUUAUAUAUUUGUUUGUUUGUUGCGACAGAAAUUAUAGAGUUGUUUUCCCUCUAUUGUCUUUAUCUAUUCACUUUGAUACAAUACACAAUUAAAUGAUCGGGGUUUUGAAUACAUAGCAUGGGUUCCUUGUGUUGGAGGCAUUUGACACAAGCCUUUGCUGCUGUAUAGCCAAGCUGGAUUCUUUACAUUCUCAGAAUUACAUUUAUCAUUUUCCCUCUUGGAAGCUAAAAAAGAAUAGUAAAUGUAUUUUGUUCAUAGCUAGGCAUACUUUGUUCUUGGAAGGCAUAGUUUGUUAUUAAAUUCUAAACAGUUUUAUAAAUGGUGACAAAUAAAGGGUUGUUAUUAAUUUCUAGGGAUACUGAAAUUUUUGGCUUGUACUGAAUUGUUUAUGGACCUAUUAAAAUAUCCCCUUGCACUGAAAUUUGAUUUCUACUGACUUUUUUUUAAAGAUACCUAAGACUUCUUGUGCUAAAAUUACCCUGUUACUAAAAUUUGCCUUGCUACUGUUGUACUAAAAUUUAACUAUUUAGUAGGAAGGAAGAGCACAAGAGGGAGCAAAAAAGAACAAGGAGAAAGCGACGCUUAGGAGAAGUUAGCUCAAAAUCCACUUACAUGAUUCGUGGUUUUGCCUAACCACUACUUGAUUCGUGAUAGCAUUGCACCAGACACAUAACAUCCAGUUGUAUAAUUGUAUAAGUAGAGUGUACUUGAUGCCUAUUCAUCUUUAUUCAUCCUUCUGUUUUCA
Molecule: long non-coding RNA, 4498 nt
Organism: Triticum urartu
Lineage: Eukaryota; Viridiplantae; Streptophyta; Magnoliopsida; Poales; Poaceae
Source: RefSeq, a predicted model, not a curated record